Etheostoma spectabile (orangethroat darter) is the source of this 284-nucleotide long non-coding RNA. RefSeq lists it as uncharacterized. The record is from RefSeq and is a predicted model, not a curated record. NCBI's taxonomy places the organism in Eukaryota, Metazoa, Chordata, Actinopteri, Perciformes, Percidae. The transcript has 3 exons.
AGAGGGAUGCGCUCAUAAAAGUUAAAACAUUUAGAUACCGACAGCCCCGUCAACAUUCCCUGAUGGGUAUCUUUAUGAAAGAUAUAGAUUUCUAGCAGAGGGAAUUACGUAUAGGCUAUUUGUCGGCUUCUUGAGCUGUGUGUUGCCAAUGAGCACAUCGGCUUGAAUUAUGUUUUUAGAUUUUUAAUUUGCUCUCACGAUCGCAUCCCACUGCCAGGGUUGCAAAAGAAAUAAUAUGCUAAAGCUACGACAGUUUAUGGAAAGCACAAGUGCAGUUUUUCCUC